GACGGACGCUGGCGGCGUGCUUAACACAUGCAAGUCGAACGGAAAGGCCCUGCUUUUGUGGGGUGCUCGAGUGGCGAACGGGUGAGUAACACGUGAGUAACCUGCCCUUGACUUUGGGAUAACUUCAGGAAACUGGGGCUAAUACCGGAUAGGAGCUCCUGCUGCAUGGUGGGGGUUGGAAAGUUUCGGCGGUUGGGGAUGGACUCGCGGCUUAUCAGCUUGUUGGUGGGGUAGUGGCUUACCAAGGCUUUGACGGGUAGCCGGCCUGAGAGGGUGACCGGCCACAUUGGGACUGAGAUACGGCCCAGACUCCUACGGGAGGCAGCAGUGGGGAAUAUUGCACAAUGGGCGGAAGCCUGAUGCAGCAACGCCGCGUGCUGGAUGACGGCCUUCGGGUUGUAAACCGCUUUCGCCUGUGACGAAGCGUGAGUGACGGUAAUGGGUAAAGAAGCACCGGCUAACUACGUG
RNAcentral lists this ribosomal RNA (468 nucleotides) under uncultured bacterium. RNAcentral describes it as "partial 16S ribosomal RNA". It matches the Rfam family "Bacterial small subunit ribosomal RNA", at positions 28 to 507 of the family's 1533-position model. The record is from RNAcentral.